Molecule: ribosomal RNA, 289 nt
Filed under: uncultured Micrococcaceae bacterium
Lineage: Bacteria; Bacillati; Actinomycetota; Actinomycetes; Micrococcales; Micrococcaceae
Description: partial 16S ribosomal RNA
Source: RNAcentral
CUACACGGGUAUCUAAUCCUGUUCGCUCCCCAUGCUUUCGCUCCUCAGCGUCAGUAACAGCCCAGAGACCUGCCUUCGCCAUCGGUGUUCCUCCUGAUAUCUGCGCAUUUCACCGCUACACCAGGAAUUCCAGUCUCCCCUACUGCACUCCAGUCAGCCCGUACCCACUGCACACCCGGAGUUAAGCCCCGGGCUUUCACAGCAGACGUGACAAACCGCCUACGAGCUCUUUACGCCCAAUAAUUCCGGAUAACGCUCGCACCCUACGUAUUACCGCGGCUGCUGGCAC